AGGGCGUGUUUGCCACUACUGUACACCGCUGGCCGCAGCAUUUUUCUUUUGAAUGGCGUUUAUUUUUUAGGCGACGACCACAAGCCUGUUCCCUAGUCAUCGGUCGUACGCGCGACUCCUCGGAAGUUUGGCUAUAAUCAGCGCGCCCCUCUAGCAAAACAGUCGAGUCGGCACCAGAUGCGCCCGAGAGGCCCCGCGCCGACCUUCAACCUAUUCUCGCUAACCAAAAGUUGAAUACCUGCUCUGCAGCUGUUCGAUCAGCUACCUCGACAGAGUAGAGGUCGAUAAGCGCUCUUUCACGAUGAACUACCAGGUCAUGCGCAAGUCACGCACCCUACGCUUUCGUGCUAUCCGCAAAACCUGCUAUCUUCCAAGCGUAGCGGCUUGCGGACCAUCAAGGCAACUAUGCGCUGAAAUUCCGCCUCUUGUACCGUUGAACAACUUCCCUGAAUGCUUCGCGCCAUCGAGAAGCAUAUUCAUGUAUCGUGCGCCUGCAAGAAGCGGUUCCAACACUUCAUACCGACUCAGUGGGUCCUCGACCGCAAUCAAGUUCAGAUUUCCGGACACAGCGUCCGCCUACGCAUGAAAAACGGCCUCCAAGUCUGUUGUCGCGUGCUGUUUUUGAGGCAAUGAGGAACCGCGGAUGCAUUGCUCGUCCACUGAGCAGUCGCGUGCGCCAGUAUCGAGGACGCGUGCCGUUCUCGCAGCAAAAGAACCAGUCUGUCGGAGCGUCUCCUACUAUUCCACGAUACUCCAGCGGAAAAAGAGCGACUCUUCGCCCCUGUCGACGAAUUGGCGCCCCGGGCGACGCUUUACGCACUUCGAGCGCUCCAUGAGAGCAACCGUGAAUCCCAACUGUCCCAGUUUACGAUCAUCGCUGGCACGGUUCAAACCGCAGUGCCCCGCCAGUUAGCAAGUUAUGUCGUGAGAUAUUCGGAGGAACUAGCGCCCCGUGCUGUGCUGCUCCAGCAGUGCUCUGCGUGCAUUCUCGAGGAGUAUCUUCUGCUCAACGCUUGCGAUCUGUUUCCGCGUACUGAUCACAGCAUCAGGGUUGACACUCACGCUGUCAAUGCCACAGCGAACUAAAAACUCGGUUAAAUCCGGAUAUACUGAAGGAGCCUGCCCGCAGAUACUCACAGUGAUAUUGGCACGGUGGGCUUCCUCGAUGAGGAUGCGCAUCGCGGCCUUGACUGCCGGAUCGCGCUCAUCAAAGUAUCCCAAAGUGGCAAGCUUCGGGGAAUCUCGAUCCGCGCCCAGCAACAGCUGCGUUAGGUCGUUGCUACCGAUACUAAAUCCAUCACAGAGCUGAGCAAAAUCGCGCGCGAGCAGAACAACGCUGGGAACCUCCGCCAUGAGCAGAACUUUGAAGUCGGAAGCGCGCUGCAGUCCUUCAGAGCGCAUCAAGUCAAGCGCACGCUGCACCUCCCAGGUCGUUCGUGCAAAUGGUAACAUGGCCCAGACAUUUUUCAAACCCUGCUCAUCCCGAACCUGCUUCAUCGCUCGGCAUUCGAGGCGAAACCCGGCCUCGUACUCAGCGCUGACAUAGCGCGAGACGCCCCGCCAGCCGAGCAUCGGAUUAGAUUCAAGGAUCUCGUACCGUUCGCCGCCUUUCAGGGAGCGGUAUUCGUUGGUCUUGAAAUCACUAAAUCGGACAAUGACUGGCCUCGGAUAGGCAGCUUGUGCGACCAUGGAAAUACCUUCCGCGAGCUUCUCCACGAGCAUUUCUUCCUCCUUGUUCUCGAUAAUGUACAUGGGAUGGUGUCCAACCCAGCUGGCAAGGAUGAACUCGACCCGCAUGAGCCCAAUGCCGUCAAAUGGCAGGUGACGUAGAUCCUGCAUUUUCUCUGGUUCACCGAGGUUCAUGUAGACGCGAGUAGCCGUGAUCGGCAAUACCAUCGACGCGACUGCGUCAGCGGAUAUCCCUGCCUUGGGCGGUGUGUCCUCCUCGGCUUUGUGUACUCCGCGCAGUAUGACACCCAGCGUUCCGUCCACCGUCACGAUCUGGCCGCUUCGAAGAAUCUCGGUUGCUUUGCCGGUGCCAACCACACAUGGUAAGCCAAGUUCACGCGAGACAAUCGCGGCAUGCGCAGUCAUUCCGCCACUGUCGGUGACGAUGGCCGCCGCCUUUCUCAUCGCUGGCACCCAGUCCGGCGUUGUCAUUGAUGUGACAAGCACUUCACCUGGUUGGAACUCCGAUAUGUUCUGGACAUCAAGAAGGACUCGCACUUUCCCGUGUGCGCGCCCUGGCGAUGCUCCGAGGCCACGUACCAAAACCUCGCGACGCGAGGCUGCUUUCCUGUCUGACCAGACUGUUUCGGGACGCGCUUGAAGCACAUAGAGCUGGUUCUUUUCCUCAUCUAUGGCCCAUUCAAUGUCCAUUGGUAUUCCGUAAUGCUUUUCUAUGGUGAGUGCAGUUCGUAGGAGCUCCUGUAUCUGUGCAUCGGUGAGACACGGAGCCUCCACCAGGUCCGCUGGUACGGGUACCUCACGGGUCAGCGUGUCAGCGGAUGCUGCGUCGAUGCCCUGGACGCCGUCAGCGACUGCGGCUCGCACCAUCAUCAGCGGCUUUGAGGCAGUGUGGCGCUCGAGCACACGCCCGCUUGCCUUUUCGACCACGAAACGAUCCGGUCGAACCCUGCCCUGAACGACCAUCUCGCCGAGUCCCCAGCAGCACUCAAUAACGAUCAGAUCACGCUUGCCGGUAACCGGAUCCAGGGUGAAACAAACCCCCGAGACACGGCUCUGAACCAUUUGCAUCACACCCACACUCAGGCGCAUAUCCAGGUGCGGGUAGCCUUUCUCCUCCCGAUAUGCAAUGGCGCGAGGCGAGAACAACGAGCCGUAGCAUUUCUUGAUAUACUGGAGGAUCGCAUCGAUGCCGUGCACGCACAGAUACGUCUCUUGCUGGCCAGCAAAACUUGCCUCUGCAGAGUCCUCCGCAGUUGCGCUGCUGCGAACUGCAACCAGUGGCUCUUGCGCCCCAAGGGUUUUCACCAAGUUGCGGUACGCACUUCGAAUCAUCUGCUCUACGGGCGGUGGGUAUGCAGCAUCCUCCAACAACGCCAUUAUUGCCUUUGAGGCUUCCUCCAGCGAGCUGGGCGACUCUAAGUUCAGACCUUGAAGAA
This 3125-nucleotide unclassified non-coding RNA is filed under the name Cyanidioschyzon merolae strain 10D. Its description in RNAcentral is "hypothetical transcript". Lineage: Eukaryota; Rhodophyta; Bangiophyceae; Cyanidiales; Cyanidiaceae. The record is from RNAcentral.